This 383-nucleotide RNase P RNA is filed under the name Acidobacteriota bacterium. RNAcentral describes it as "RNase P RNA component class A". It matches the Rfam family "Bacterial RNase P class A". Rfam says of the family: Ribonuclease P (RNase P) is a ubiquitous endoribonuclease, found in archaea, bacteria and eukarya as well as chloroplasts and mitochondria. Lineage: Bacteria; Pseudomonadati; Acidobacteriota. The record is from RNAcentral.
CGGAGGACCGGAUGCGGUCGCUGCCGGCGGGGAACCGCCGGGGGAGGAAAGUCCGGACUCCAACGGACGGCAUGCUUGCUAACGGCAAGGCGCGGUGACGCGACGGAAAGUGCAGCAGAGAGUAGACCGCCCGCCCGUCGAGGGCGGGCAAGGGUGAAACGGUGCGGUAAGAGCGCACCGCUCGGCCGGCGACGGUUCGAGGCGAUGGCAAACCCCAUGUGGAGCAAGACCAAAUAGGGAGAGCGGAUCGGGUUGUCCGUCCCGGUUCCGGGCCGUUCGCGGCCGGGGACGUUCUCCGGGUAGGUCGCAGAGAUGAAUGGCCGCCUCCCGAAGCCCCCGGGCUGUGGGACGAACAGAAUCCGGCUUACGAGGUCCUCCGGCGC